UUCCAGCUCCAAUAGCGUAUAUUAAAGUUGUUGCAGUUAAAAAGCUCGUAGUUGAACUUUGGGCCCGGUUGGCCGGUCCGAUUUUUUCGUGUACUGGAUUUCCAACGGGGCCUUUCCUUCUGGCUAACCUUGAGUCCUUGUGGCUCUUGGCGAACCAGGACUUUUACUUUGAAAAAAUUAGAGUGUUCAAAGCAGGCGUAUUGCUCGAAUAUAUUAGCAUGGAAUAAUAGAAUAGGACGUUUGGUUCUAUUUUGUUGGUUUCUAGGACCAUCGUAAUGAUUAAUAGGGACGGUCGGGGGCAUCAGUAUUCAAUUGUCAGAGGUGAAAUUCUUGGAUUUAUUGAAGACUAACUACUGCGAAAGCAUUUGCCAAGGACGUUUUCAUCA
Molecule: ribosomal RNA, 386 nt
Filed under: Saccharomyces sp.
Lineage: Eukaryota; Fungi; Ascomycota; Saccharomycetes; Saccharomycetales; Saccharomycetaceae
Description: partial small subunit ribosomal RNA
Rfam family: Eukaryotic small subunit ribosomal RNA
Source: RNAcentral